Long non-coding RNA from Salvia splendens (bonfire salvia), 290 nucleotides. RefSeq lists it as uncharacterized. The record is from RefSeq and is a predicted model, not a curated record. The transcript has 3 exons. NCBI's taxonomy places the organism in Eukaryota, Viridiplantae, Streptophyta, Magnoliopsida, Lamiales, Lamiaceae.
UCUAAGCAGAGAGAAUCAGCCAUUAAUGCACUCCAGAUAUUCGACAAAAGGUUUACUCCAGCUCCUCGUUAUUGUACGAACUCAGAAUAACUGAAACUCUGUAUUUUGAUUGAUUAACACUUCCGUCGCUAUAGCCGUAUGUUUAAUUCUUCAGCUUCGCCCUAAAACCUUGUUAACUCCGAGAUGGAAGGUACCAUGGAACUGGAUUCCGACUACCCCUGGAGCUGCAAUGUCGAGCUGAUGAACUACGAGGAACAUGAAGAAUGGCCAAUCAGCUCUAGUAACUUACC